CUCCAGCAGACCCUCCCUCCCAGACCCUCCUACUUCCUGGACAGCAGUUGAAACAUGGAUGCUGUCCAGGAAGUAGGAGGGUCUGGGAGGGAGGGUCUGCUGGAG
This is a non-coding RNA of Pelobates cultripes (western spadefoot toad), 105 nucleotides long. Lineage: Eukaryota; Metazoa; Chordata; Amphibia; Anura; Pelobatidae. The record is from the annotation of a GenBank genome assembly.